CACGUAGGGUGCGAGCGUUGUCCGGAAUUAUUGGGCGUAAAGAGCUUGUAGGCGGUUUGUCGCGUCUGCUGUGAAAUUUCGGGGCUCAACCCCGAACUUGCAGUGGGUACGGGCAGACUAGAGUGUGGUAGGGGAGACUGGAAUUCCUGGUGUAGCGGUGAAAUGCGCAGAUAUCAGGAGGAACACCGAUGGCGAAGGCAGGUCUCUGGGCCAUAACUGACGCUGAGACGCGAAAGCGUGGGGAGCGAACAGG
Molecule: ribosomal RNA, 253 nt
Filed under: uncultured bacterium
Lineage: Bacteria
Description: partial 16S ribosomal RNA
Rfam family: Bacterial small subunit ribosomal RNA
Source: RNAcentral